RNAcentral lists this ribosomal RNA (426 nucleotides) under uncultured bacterium. RNAcentral's name for it is "bacterial SSU rRNA". It matches the Rfam family "Bacterial small subunit ribosomal RNA", at positions 356 to 773 of the family's 1533-position model. The record is from RNAcentral.
GGGGAAUAUUGGACAAUGGGGGGAACCCUGAUCCAGCCAUGCCGCGUGUGUGAAGAAGGCCUUAUGGUUGUAAAGCACUUUAAGCGAGGAGGAGGCUCCUAUAGAUAAUACCUAUAGAGAGUGGACGUUACUCGCAGAAUAAGCACCGGCUAACUCUGUGCCAGCAGCCGCGGUAAUACAGAGGGUGCGAGCGUUAAUCGGAUUUACUGGGCGUAAAGCGUACGUAGGCGGCUUUUUAAGUCGGAUGUGAAAUCCCCGAGCUUAACUUGGGAAUUGCAUUCGAUACUGGGAAGCUAGAGUAUGGGAGAGGAUGGUAGAAUUCCAGGUGUAGCGGUGAAAUGCGUAGAGAUCUGGAGGAAUACCGAUGGCGAAGGCAGCCAUCUGGCCUAAUACUGACGCUGAGGUACGAAAGCAUGGGGAGCAAAC